GGAGAGGUGACCGAGAGGCCGAAGGUGCGGCACUGGAAAUGCCGUUCGUGGCGAAAGCUGCGACGUGGGUUCGAAUCCCACCCUCUCCG
This 89-nucleotide transfer RNA is filed under the name Planctomycetaceae bacterium. RNAcentral describes it as "tRNA-Ser". It matches the Rfam family "tRNA". From Rfam's summary of the family: Transfer RNA (tRNA) molecules are approximately 80 nucleotides in length. The record is from RNAcentral. RNAcentral also lists the same sequence under 3 other names. Lineage: Bacteria; Pseudomonadati; Planctomycetota; Planctomycetia; Planctomycetales; Planctomycetaceae.